GAUGAACGCUAGCUACAGGCUUAACACAUGCAAGUCGAGGGGAAACGCUGAGAGAGCUUGCUCUCUUAGGCGUCGACCGGCGCACGGGUGAGUAACGCGUAUCCAACCUACCCAUUACAGGGGGAUAACCUUGCGAAAGUAAGACUAAUACCCCAUGGCAUUUUAUGGUGGCAUCAUUAUAGGAUUAAAGAUUUAUUGGUAAUGGAUGGGGAUGCGUCUGAUUAGCUUGUUGGCGGGGUAACGGCCCACCAAGGCAACGAUCAGUAGGGGUUCUGAGAGGAAGGUCCCCCACAUUGGAACUGAGACACGGUCCAAACUCCUACGGGAGGCAGCAGUGUGGAAUAUUGGUCAAUGGGCGAUAGCUUGAACCAGCCAAGUAGCGUGCAGGAUGACGGCCCUAUGGGUUGUAAACUGCUUUUAUAGGGGAAUAAAGUGAGCUACGUGUAGUUUAUUGCAUGUACCCUAUGAAUAAGGACCGGCUAAUUCCGUG
RNAcentral lists this ribosomal RNA (490 nucleotides) under uncultured bacterium. RNAcentral's name for it is "partial 16S ribosomal RNA". It matches the Rfam family "Bacterial small subunit ribosomal RNA", at positions 28 to 507 of the family's 1533-position model. The record is from RNAcentral.